CCUUUGGACUGUUAUACCAAAUCAAAGUAGUUCUUUAUAACAAAAUGAGACAGGAUGAAGAAGGAA
Molecule: small RNA, 66 nt
Filed under: Clostridium bornimense
Lineage: Bacteria; Bacillati; Bacillota; Clostridia; Eubacteriales; Clostridiaceae
Description: RAGATH-18 RNA
Rfam family: RAGATH-18 RNA
About the family: Actinobacteria, Firmicutes, Fusobacteria, Thermotogae (1 example). Nearby to self-cleaving ribozyme genes
Source: Rfam by way of RNAcentral